UUCGCCUCUUUAACUCUACACAUAACUCGAUCUGUUUAAAACAUGGCAUGAAAUUCUUAAUUUUAACAUGUUAAUGGUACAUAUGAGUGAUGUGAUGAUGAUGCAUACAUUGCAGUACAAGGAUACUUCAGAAGCAGCAGUUGCAGGGGCAAAAAGCAUUUUCAUGUCAUGUGUGAGAUCAGGGACGGUGAAACGUCUGAUCUACACUGCGUCUGUUGUUUCAGCCUCUCCACUGAAAGAAGAUGGGAGUGACUUCAAAGAUGUAAUGGAUGAAACUUGCUGGACCCCUCUCAAUGAUUUCCUUGGAAUACGUUUACCUUGAAGAUCCUGCGUACAAGGUUAGUUGCCAGCUUUUAUUCUUCAAUUUGUUUCAAAGAAAGAAUUCGGGUUCUUGCUGCUCUUGCUCCCAUUUGCACAUUUUGUUGUCUGGAUUAUAAUAGAAAGGUCAAGAAACAAGACAUGUGAUGUGAUACAAACCGAUAGAAACGUAUAUGAAACGUAUUAUAAAAAUAAAUUUAACUUAUUGUUUAAAAUCUAAAAAGUGAAAAGACAAUAUAAUUUAUUUAAGUUAUUUUAUUCUUCUAUCUUUUUAUCAUCCUUAUUAAAAAAAUUAUUUUACUAUAAAUUCAUUUAAAAAUUAAUUUUUAAUUCUUUUAUAUUAUAUAAAGAUAUAAUAAAAAAUUAAAUAAAAACAUUUUCAAUAACACAUAUAUAAUCUAUAUAUUUUUGUUGUUUAUUUCUAUAAUCAUAAUAAAAUUUUAUGUAAUAAAUUUAAAUUUUUAAAAAAGUAUUGUAUUUGAGUAUUUUAAAAUUAUGUUGUAACAAUGUUAGAAUUGUAAAAAUCUAAAAAAAAAAAUUGAUAUUUUUGGUACGUAUCCUAGUUUAUCAGUGUCUGAUGUGAAUAACACACUAUUCAAGAGGCAUUUAUGAAGUUCAUAUAUACUUAGUAUGAGUGAUAUGUGAUAAGCAUGUUAACAUAUAUUAGCUGAGCCUCACAUGAGAAAGUGUAUGCAUGUGAUUUAUUAAGGAUUUACUUCUUUGAGAGAGAUGAGAUAGUCAUUUAGAGAGAUUCAGCUAACUGUAAAGUGAGUGAGAAAUAAUUUUAAUCUUUAACGAGGAAAGCAUUAUUGAUAUUAAGUCUCAUGUACUAAAGAACAAUAUCUUCGGGAUUUCAUCAGUUGAUUUUCUUACAUGAUUGAGAUUGUUUAAUGCUAUUGUAUUGGUCUUAUAUUUCAAGGACUAUACUUAUUCAAAAACACUGUCUGAGAAACAUCUGUUGAGCUAUGGAAAUGAUGAAAAUGGUGGAGGAUUAGAAGUGGUAACACUCCCUUGUGGACUAGUGGGAGGUGAAACCCUUACAUCUUCUCCCAGUAGCAGCAUAAUUUGUAUCGCACAGAUCGUGCAACAGGAAAGGGCCUACAAAUCACUCAAGUUCCUAGAGGGAUUGCUGGGUAAAGUUCCUCUUGUACACAUUGAUGACGUAUGUGAAGCUCAUAUUUUCUGCAUGGAAAGCACUUCCAUCAGUGGAAGAUUUUUGUGUGCAAGUUCUUACAUUUCAUUACAAGAGAUGACUAACCAUUACGCUCUUCAUCAUCCAGAAUUCACCGUCAAACAAGAGUAAGUGAUUUCCUGUUCUUGGUCACUGCUAGAUUUAUUUCUUCUCUUGGUCUCCUUUUUCCUUGUUUCUUAAAGAACUAACUCAAAGGCCUAAAUAGUAGUAUAUUUAUGUAAAUAGAUGUUAAACAAGGACAUUUUCAAUGGAAUAACUGUAAGCACGAUUAAGAUCAAAUUUUUACAUGAUUGUGUAGUCUUGGAUUACACCAAUUAAGUUUUCUUCCUACUAAAUGUUUACAGUUUUCAUCUGAAAAUUACAUUUCAGAUAUAAAGAUGGGCAGAGUAAGGAUAUCAAGUGGACCUCAACAAAGCUGUGUGACAAAGGAUUUGUAUAUAAAUAUGAUGCCAAAAUGAUAUUGGAUGAUUGUAUCAGAUAUGCAAGAAAGAUGGGUGAAAUCUAGUGUCCAUCUACACCCUCUUUGCAUCUGCUUGUAACAUGUGGAUGUCUCUUUUUUCCCUAUCUUCAAUACUUUUGUUUUUGUCUUGUUGAUUAAAAAAAACUCAGUUCUAAAUUAAUUGAAAUAGUACUACAUUAAUUAGAAAAUAAGGACUGUGAUCAUUACUACACAGUAUCCCUGUUUACAGAAUAUUUUGUUCUAUUUAUUUAUUUACUAAGCAUUUCCCUGUAGUAUAUCAUGUUCAUUUGGUGUUUCAAUCAGUAUUGUAAUGGUUACAAGUUUUAUUACCUAUAUGUUGUUUUUUGAGUUUCCAAAAAAGAUAUCAUAUCUAGCAUUGUUUAGUUUUUUUCUAAUUUAAAGAGUUUAUGCUCUUCAUAUGGACCACUCAAACAUCUUAGUUGGUCCUUCACAUAUAUACAGGAGAGUGGUAAAGGGAUGCCUUUUUGUUGUGUAGGAAACAGUGUGGGGCCAAAUUGAUCAAUCUUUAGGAGAAAUGAUCAUUGACUAUUGAUUACACAAUUCUAGAAAUAUACCUGAACCAUGACCAGGAUUUACGAUUUAGCAAAAUAGGAGUAUCUCUGAAUUGGACUGAAAUUUAAAUCCAAUUCAAUUAAGCAUAAUAAACAAAUGGUAAGAUGCGUAAUGAACAUAAUUUAAAUGGUUUAAAAUAUAUUAUAAGUAUCUCAUCUACAGAUUCGGAGAUAGUUGACAAAUAUAAAUUUGGUUUAUUUACAUUUAAAAUAAGUGUGUUUCAAAUAAGACAUUUUUUUUAAAAUUAUUUAAUAUAUGUAUAAUUUUCUUCUAAUAAAACAGAGAAUUGGCUAUUUUCAAAAUAAACAUAGUAGACAAAUGCAUUAAAAAACAUAAAUUUAUUUUAUUAAAAAAUAUAAAUAAAUAAACCGGUCCGUAUAAAAUUACAAAAACUAACAUGUUUAUGUGUCAUUUUUAUACAAUUUUGUUUACUAUUUUAAUGUAAAAUUUAUAGAUAAAUUAUUUUAAUUAUAUAUUUUUGUUAUUUCAGUUAAUAUAUUUUGAUUGAACUAUUAUGUUAUAAAUUAUAAUAUUUUGAACUAUAAUAUUAAAAUAAUAUAAAUAGUGUAAUAGUUAGAAUAGUAUAUUAUAUUUUUUUUAAACAAUAAUAUUAAAAAUAUAUUUUCUUAUCUAUAACCAUCUGUAAUUUUAAAUAUAACCUAAAAUAAUAAAAUAUAUAUUGAAAGAAUAAUCAUUGUUAAAAUAAACUUAUAAUUUAUUCAUAAAAAAUCUUUUCAUUGGUAUAAUAGGUUUCUAUCUUGUUUGUUCUUAUAAUUCUUUAUGAAUAGGUAUAGUUUACUUUUGUAUCGUUUUUGUUAACAUAUGAGUUUUGGUCUAUUCUUCCCAUAUUUUUGUAUUUUUUUUAAUAAUAUUUGUUAUGUAAUGAGUAAUGAUUGUUGUUACUUGAGUUGUCAAAGUAAUUGAGAUUUUAAGUUGCAUAAUAAUAUAUAACAUAUUUUUAUUUAAAAAUAAAAAUAAACUUUGUAAUAUAAAAAUCAUUAAAAAUACUAGAAAGAAAAAAGUAAAUACCUAUUUUAAGAAGAGGAAAAAAAAGAGAAAAAAUAAUACAACCCUGAGUUAUGAAAAAUAGAAUAUGAAAAGGAAAUUUAAUGAAUACAUUUUAAAAUAAAAGAGAAAUAAUAUGUAAGAAAUUGAAAGUUAGCAUUUUAAAUUAAGAAAUGUUACUUGAGUUAAGAUAGUGGUGCUGUUUCAAACUAAACCCAUGUGACUUUGAUCCUGCAGUUUAAGAACACAAUCAUUUCUUUAUAUCUUAGCUUAUUAUUAUACUUUUAAAUUAUCUUACAGCAUUACAACUUGUGUGAAUACAAGUCAAUGUAUUUGUUUUAUAUUUUAAUCUUAGUUUUACUAUCUGCUUUGGAGGUCGACACUGGUGCAAAUAUUUUAUUUUAACUUGUACACAUUUUCUAGCAGUUUUAAAUAUACUUUGUUUUUUUUCUUUUGUUUUUAACUGUCAUGUCUGAAACAAUGCCGAAUUAAUUUAUUUAAUUUAUUUCAUUACAAGAAAUCCACAUAAUAUCUCACGUUUCUUAUUUCAACGUCACUUAUGUAUUUUUACUAUUAUAAUAUAUAUAUAUAUAUAUAUAUUAAAAAUGAAACUUAAAUACAUAUAUAUCCUUGUAAAAUUAUUACCAAUUACUGUAUAUUAGUAAAUAAAUUCUUAUCAUUAUACUAAUAUAUUUAUAUAUCUUUUGGCAGAGACUUUUAUCAAACUAGCACAUGCCACGAGAUCUCCAGAAUCUUCCUAUUCGAUAAGACUUUUAAGCAAAAACAAGUAUUUAAACCUAAACCUAUCCAAAUAGUGAAAUACCACCUUUAAAUCUUUAAUCAUGAUUAAAUAUUUUUUUAUUGUAUCAUUAUGAAAUUAUUUUUUUAUCAUUGGUCGACCAUUUAGUUAUUUAUAGUAUGAAAAUAAUUAAAAUUAGUUCUUAAAUAGAAUAAAUUUUAGUUUUUUUUCAAAAAUAAUAUUUUUAUAAAAAAAAAUCUUUUUGAAGUCGUUAUACUUCUUGAAGCUUUUGCAGGGCUUUUGCUCAAUGUUAAAGAUCCCUACCCUCAUCUUGCGGGGCUCCCCUUGCCCUUUCUUGGUUGGUAAAUCAACCAGCCGGAUUUCAUUAAUAAAGGGAUAAAAUUUGGUGGUUCUAAUUAUAAUUUUAAUAGGAAAACAAAAAACAUGUGUCUAUUAUAAUUAGUUUUGAUGUACUGAUGAAGUGAAAACUAAAAUGGAAUCAAUUCUACAUAUAAAAAACUUAUUUUAAUUAUUUUUAUAUUAUAAAUAUCAAAAUAAUCUAAAAUUUGAUAAGUAACUAAAGUUAAUUUAAUGUUAUAAAGUUUAAUCCUUAAAUCAUUAACUCCUUGCUGCACACAAGUUGUUUUUCUAUAGCUUCUAACUAUUAAUAAACGGAGAAACGAGAAAUAUAUUAUAAAAUUUUUAUUAAUAUUUUUGAAGGAUACAAUUGAAAUUUGAAAAUUUAUGUUGAUAUUAGAAGUUUGACACACACUUUUAAGAGUGAGUGGAAAUAAAAAAUCUUAGUAUUCUCUAAAAAGUAAAUUAAAAAUUGUACUCUCAUAGCCACGUUGAUCAGAAUACCGAAUCAUAUGACUACUCGUUCAUGAUAGGAAAAAGAUCACAUGAUCGAUCAAGCUCAUGAUGACGAGACAUGGUGACCAAGUCAACAGGGCUAACCCAGAUUAAUGGUUGUUUAACGCAACCCUAAACACGAACCAACCUCUUAAUCUGGCCCACUAACAAAGACUCAUUAAGGUAAUAUAAAUAACGCGAAUUUCAAGAAUGAGGUACAUCAUUAUCUAACUAACAACCGAGUGUUGACACCUUGAAACUUGAUCGUCGGAGUGCUCUAAGCCUGUACUACCAGAUGGCCGAGAAAAGAAAGGUGAAGCAGGAAGCCGAGUGCGAAAACGACCGACCGAGUGGAAACAAAAUAAUCGUUCUUUAUGUCCCAACAAUCGUUCAAGAAUAAAUAUUUAAUAAAUUAAAGCGUAUGUGCUAAAAUAUAUAUUACCGAACCGAUACUGUUGGUGCAGUGGAGGCCAGCCACUGAACUACAGAAGGCAUGGAAAAGUACUUGUAAUGGCUCCGGCCAUGUCUAUUAUUUAUGCAUAUAUCUGUGUCGUUCUGGUUUGUUAAUUUCUUUUAUAAUUAUUACAUUCCAAGACUUUAAAAUGGGAAUGGUGAUGGAAUAAAAAUUGUUUUAACAUUGCGUGUACCGCUGUUUUACUCUUACUAAAAAAAUGAUAGGCGGCUUCUUCUAAGAGAUUAAUCAAGGACGAACACACUAUGAAAAUUUAGUUCUAAACAUCACUUUAUUAUAUAAUAAAUUAAAUAGAUUCAUGCAUUUUUACUGAAAUCUGCAAGAGGGUACCAAUUCAAAAUAUAACAGUCCACUCGUGUUUGAAGAGUGUUUUGGCAGUAUUUGUGAGCCAGGAAAUCCACUUUAUAAACCACUCCAACUUCAGUUCAAGUUGUAACUGUUUGUAGUGUAUACUUAUCUGUGUAAAGAGAAUAAAAAUGGGGGAAGGGAGCAAGGUAUGUGUCACAGGAGGCAGUGGUUACAUAGGUUCCUGGCUCGUCAAGAAGUUACUGGCCAAGGGUUACAUUGUUCAUGCAACUGUCAGAGACUUGAGUUAGUAUUCUCUCUCUUUCUCUUUCUGCACACUAUGUAUGUUCUCUUGUGAAUUUUGAUUCGUAUUUUGGAACAUAAUCAACAGAGAACGAGUCCAAGGUAGGGCUCUUAAAGAGCCUUCCUCAUGCAGAAGCCAAUCUGGUUCUGUUUGAAGCUGAUAUUUACAAUCCAACUCAAUUUGAUCCUGCAAUUCAAGGAUGUGAGUUUGUGUUUCAUGUUGCUACUCCCCUCGCCCAUGAACCAGAUUCACCUCAGGUUCGCCUGUCUAACUCUAUACAUAACUAAAUCUGUUUAAAACAUGGCAUAAGAGUCUUGACAGAUUAUAGUUUUAACAUGUUAAUAGUAUAUAUGAGUGAUGUGAUGAUGUAUAAUGCAUACAUCGCAGUACAAGGAUACUUCAGAAGCAGCAGUUGCAGGGGCAAAAAGUAUUGUGAUGUCUUGUGUGAGAUCAGGGACGGUGAAACGUCUGAUCUACACUGUGUCUGUUGUUUCAGCCUCUCCACUGAAAGAAGAUGGGAGUGACUUCAAAGAUGUGAUGGAUGAAACUAGCUGGACCCCUCUCAAUGAUUCCUUGGAAUACGUUUACCUUGAUCCUAUGUACAAGGUUAGUUGUCAGCUUUAAAUUCUUCAAUUUGUUUCAAAGAAAGCAUUCGGAUUUUUGCUACUCCUUGCUGUGUCAUUUGCACUUCUUUUUGUUGUCUGGGUUAUAAUAGGUAAGUAAAGAAACAAGACAUGUGAUAGAAACAAAGAUAUAAACA
RNAcentral lists this long non-coding RNA (6960 nucleotides) under Phaseolus vulgaris (common bean). RNAcentral describes it as "long non-coding RNA (PVUL_LNC002695)". Lineage: Eukaryota; Viridiplantae; Streptophyta; Magnoliopsida; Fabales; Fabaceae. The record is from RNAcentral.